CCUACGGGUGGCAGCAGUAGGGAAUUUUGCGCAAUGCUCGAAAGCCUGACGCAGCAACGCCGCGUGAUCGAGACGCCCUUCGGGGUGGAAAGGUCUGUCAGUGGGGGCGAAACUUGACGGUAACCACAGGGGAAGCACCGGCUAACUCCGUGCCAGCAACCGCGGGAAUACGGGGGGUGCAAGCGUUGGCCGGAAUCAUUGGGCGGAAAGAGGUCGUAGGCGGCACGGAAAGUCAAGUGUUAAAGGCAGAGGCUCAACUUCUGUACGGCACGGGAUACUUGCGAGCUAGAAGGCGGUAGAGGUAAAGGGAAUUCCUGGUGUAGCGGUGAAAUGCGUAGAUAUCAGGAGGAACAGCGGUGGCGUAAGCGCUUUACUGGGCCGUAAUUGACGCUGAGGAACGAAAGCCAGGGUAGCAAAUGGGAUUAGAUACCCUUGUAGUC
This 440-nucleotide ribosomal RNA is filed under the name uncultured bacterium. RNAcentral's name for it is "partial 16S ribosomal RNA". It matches the Rfam family "Bacterial small subunit ribosomal RNA", at positions 338 to 795 of the family's 1533-position model. The record is from RNAcentral.